AAAUUGAAGAGUUUGAUCAUGGCUCAGAUUGAACGCUGGCGGCAGGCCUAACACAUGCAAGUCGAACGGUAACAGGAAGCAGCUUGCUGCUUCGCUGACGAGUGGCGGACGGGUGAGUAAUGUCUGGGAAACUGCCUGAUGGAGGGGGAUAACUACUGGAAACGGUGGCUAAUACCGCAUAACGUCGCAAGACCAAAGAGGGGGACCUUCGGGCCUCUUGCCAUCAGAUGUGCCCAGAUGGGAUUAGCUAGUUGGUGAGGUAAUGGCUCACCAAGGCGACGAUCCCUAGCUGGUCUGAGAGGAUGACCAGCCACACUGGAACUGAGACACGGUCCAGACUCCUACGGGAGGCAGCAGUGGGGAAUAUUGCACAAUGGGCGCAAGCCUGAUGCAGCCAUGCCGCGUGUAUGAAGAAGGCCUUCGGGUUGUAAAGUACUUUCAGCGGGGAGGAAGGUGUUGUGGUUAAUAACC
This 471-nucleotide ribosomal RNA is filed under the name Salmonella enterica. RNAcentral's name for it is "partial 16S ribosomal RNA". It matches the Rfam family "Bacterial small subunit ribosomal RNA", at positions 1 to 468 of the family's 1533-position model. RNAcentral also lists the same sequence under 1 other name. The record is from RNAcentral. Lineage: Bacteria; Pseudomonadati; Pseudomonadota; Gammaproteobacteria; Enterobacterales; Enterobacteriaceae.